This 498-nucleotide ribosomal RNA is filed under the name uncultured Glomus. Its description in RNAcentral is "SSU rRNA". It matches the Rfam family "Eukaryotic small subunit ribosomal RNA", at positions 591 to 1092 of the family's 1831-position model. The record is from RNAcentral. Lineage: Eukaryota; Fungi; Glomeromycota; Glomeromycetes; Glomerales; Glomeraceae.
CCAAUAGCGUAUAUUAAAGUUGCUGCAGUUAAAAAGCUCGUAGUUGAAUUUCGGGACCAUCAUGUCGGUCGUGCCUCGGUACGUACUGGCAUUGUUGGUUUCUCCCUUCUGACGAACCAUGAUGUCAUUUAUUUGGUGUUGUGGGAAUCAGGACUGUUACUUUGAAAAAAUUAGAGUGUUUAAAGCAGGCUCACGCUUGAAUACAUUAGCAUGGAAUAAUGAAAUAGGACGUUUGAUUCUAUUUUGUUGGUUUCUAGGAUCGACGUAAUGAUUAAUAGGGAUAGUUGGGGGCAUUAGUAUUCAAUUGUCAGAGGUGAAAUUCUUGGAUUUAUUGAAGACUAACUACUGCGAAAGCAUUUGCCAAGGAUGUUUUCAUUAAUCAAGAACGAAAGUUAGGGGAUCGAAGACGAUCAGAUACCGUCGUAGUCUUAACCAUAAACUAUGCCGACUAGGGAUCGGAUGAUGUUAAUUUUUUAAUGACUCAUUCGGCGCCUUACG